AACGAACGCGUGGCGGCAUGCCUAACACAUGCAAGUCGGAACGAGGACCUUCGGGUCUAGUGGCGCACGGGUGCGUAACGCGUGGGAAUCUGCCCUUGGGUUCGGAAUAACAGCGAGAAAUUGCUGCUAAUACCGGAUGAUGACGUAAGUCCAAAGAUUUAUCGCCCAAGGAUGAGCCCGCGUAGGAUUAGCCUAGUUGGUGAGGUAAAGGCCUCACCAAGGCGACGAUCCUUAGCUGGUCUGAGAGGAUGAUCAGCCACACUGGGACUGAGACACGGCCCAGACUCCUACGGGAGGCAGCAGUGGGGAAUGUUGGACAAUGGGCGAAAGCCUGAUCCAGCAAUGCCGCGUGAGUGAUGAAGGCCUUA
This 368-nucleotide ribosomal RNA is filed under the name uncultured bacterium. RNAcentral's name for it is "bacterial SSU rRNA". It matches the Rfam family "Bacterial small subunit ribosomal RNA", at positions 37 to 419 of the family's 1533-position model. The record is from RNAcentral.